GACGAACGCUGGCGGCGUGCUUAACACAUGCAAGUCGAACGGAAAGGCCCUGCUUUUGUGGGGUGCUCGAGUGGCGAACGGGUGAGUAACACGUGAGUAACCUGCCCUUGACUUUGGGAUAACUUCAGGAAACUGGGGCUAAUACCGGAUAGGAGCUCCUGCUGCAUGGUGGGGGUUGGAAAGUUUCGGCGGUUGGGGAUGGACUCGCGGCUUAUCAGCUUGUUGGUGGGGUAGUGGCUUACCAAGGCUUUGACGGGUAGCCGGCCUGAGAGGGUGACCGGCGACAUUGGGACUGAGAUACGGCCCAGAAUCCUACGGGAGGCAGCAGUGGGGAAUAUUGCACAAUGGGCGGGAGCCUGAUGCAGAAACGCCGCGUGCGGGAUGACGGCCUUCGGGUUGUAAACCGCUUUCGCCUGUGACGAAGCGUGAGUGACGGUAAUGGGUAAAGAAGCACCGGCUAACUACGUG
Molecule: ribosomal RNA, 468 nt
Filed under: uncultured bacterium
Lineage: Bacteria
Description: partial 16S ribosomal RNA
Rfam family: Bacterial small subunit ribosomal RNA
Source: RNAcentral